CAGCAGUGGGGAAUAUUGCGCAAUGGGCGAAAGCCUGACGCAGCAACGCCGCGUGAGGGAUGACGGCCUUCGGGUUGUAAACCUCUUUCAGCUCCGACGAAGCCUUCGGGUGACUGUAGGAGCAGAAGAAGCACCGGCUAACUACGUGCCAGCAGCCGCGGUAAUACGUAGGGUGCGAGCGUUGUCCGGAAUUAUUGGGCGUAAAGAGCUCGUAGGCGGCCUGUUGCGUCUGCUGUGAAAGCCCGGGGCUUAACCCCGGGUCUGCAGUGGAUACGGGCAGGCUAGAGUUCGGCAGGGGAGACUGGAAUUCCUGGUGUAGCGGUGAAAUGCGCAGAUAUCAGGAGGAACACCGGUGGCGAAGGCGGGUCUCUGGGCCGAUACUGACGCUGAGGAGCGAAAGCGUGGGGAGCAAACAGGAUUAGA
This 423-nucleotide ribosomal RNA is filed under the name uncultured Jiangella sp. RNAcentral's name for it is "bacterial SSU rRNA". It matches the Rfam family "Bacterial small subunit ribosomal RNA", at positions 349 to 782 of the family's 1533-position model. Lineage: Bacteria; Bacillati; Actinomycetota; Actinomycetes; Jiangellales; Jiangellaceae. The record is from RNAcentral.